Bombina bombina (fire-bellied toad) is the source of this 397-nucleotide long non-coding RNA. RefSeq lists it as uncharacterized. The transcript has 3 exons. The record is from RefSeq and is a predicted model, not a curated record. Lineage: Eukaryota; Metazoa; Chordata; Amphibia; Anura; Bombinatoridae.
ACCAGAACUAGGCUGAGGCGUGCUUAGGGCUGAUCGCCCUGCAGAGUAUUUUCGGGAUCUGGAAAACAUCAAGGAUAAGAGACAGGUACUUACCAGAACUUGGCUGAGACGUGCUAGGGGCUGAUGAUCGCCCUGCAGAGUAUUUUCGGGGAUAUGGAAAACAUCAAGGAUAAGAGACAGAUUCGUCUCUCCUACUUGAGCUUCCGUCACCAGUGACAACAGACUCUUCAAGAAGCUUGUCCCGCAUCUCCAUCUCCCAACUGUUGAAACGCACUCUCUUUGUGGAGUGCAUCAAUGACAUCUUCUUUUUGACAAUUGCCCUGCAAUCAUAAUACCUAGAAAUCAAAUAAAAACAUAUUUUUGGUUAGAAAAUAAUAAAAAAAAAAUUUUUGAAAAA